This 685-nucleotide ribosomal RNA is filed under the name uncultured Gemmatimonadota bacterium. RNAcentral's name for it is "bacterial SSU rRNA". It matches the Rfam family "Bacterial small subunit ribosomal RNA", at positions 1 to 681 of the family's 1533-position model. The record is from RNAcentral. Lineage: Bacteria; Pseudomonadati; Gemmatimonadota.
AGGAGUUUGAUCCUGGGCUCAGGAUGAACGCUGGCGGCGUGCUUAACACAUGCAAGUCACGGGGGCCCGGAGCGCAAGCUUUGGGUAACCGGCGAACGGGUGCGUAACACGUGAGCAACCUACCUAAGUGAGGGGGAUAGCCGGGCCAACGCCCGGGUAAUACCGCAUACGCUCGAGGAGAGGCAUUUCAUCUCGAGGAAACCUACGGGGCACUAUGAGGGGCUCGCGGCCUAUCAGCUAGUUGGUGAGGUAACGGCUCACCAAGGCGACGACGGGUAGCUGGUCUGAGAGGAUGGCCAGCCACAUUGGGACUGAGAUACGGCCCAGACUCCUACGGGAGGCAGCAGUGGGGAAUCUUGCGCAAUGGCCUAACGGCUGACGCAGCGACGCCGCGUGAGGGAUGACGCUCUUCGGAGUGUAANACCUCUUUCUGUCUGAGACGAAUUGUCAGCUUUUGCUGAUUUGACGGUAUCGGGCGAAUAAGCACCGGCUAAACUCCGUGCCAGCAGCCGCGAUAAUACGGGGAGNGUGCGAGCGUUGUCCGGAAUCACUGGGCGUAACACGGGCGCGUAGGUGGCCUGAUAAGGGUGUGNGUUGAACAGUCCGGGGACUCAACCCCAGGAUCGGCGUGCCGACUGUCAGNGCUGGAGUACUGUAGGGCAAGGCGGAAUUCCGGGUGUAAGCG